UCCGUAGGUGAACCUGCGGAGGGAUCAUUACCGAGUUCUCGCCCUCGCGGGUAGACCGCCCACCCACUGCUAUCGCUACCGUGUUGCUUUGGCGGGCCGCCGGCUCCGGCCGGCACGCGCCCGCCAGAGGCCUUACAGACCCUGAACGUCGGUGUCGUCUGAGCACUAUGUAAUAGUUAAAACUUUCAACAACGGAUCUCUUGGUUCUGGCAUCGAUGAAGAACGCAGCGAAAUGCGAUAAGUAAUGCGAAUUGCAGAAUUCAGUGAGUCAUCGAAUCUUUGAACGCACAUUGCGCCCUGUGGUAUUCCGCAGGGCAUGCCUGUUCGAGCGUCAUUUUUUCAACCCUCAAGCGCUGCUUGGUGUUGGGCCCUGCCCGCGCGGCCGGCCCCAAAGACAGUGGCGGCGCCGCCUGGCCUGAAGCGCAGUACGACGCUCGCUCUCGCGCCCGGCAGUAGCUAGCCAGCAACCCCAACCCCCGCAGUUGACCUCGGAUCAGGUAGGGAUACCCGCUGAACUU
RNAcentral lists this unclassified non-coding RNA (518 nucleotides) under Oidiodendron sp. KO-groupE 2014. Its description in RNAcentral is "partial contains ITS1, 5.8S rRNA and ITS2". The stretch from base 181 to 334 matches the Rfam family "5.8S ribosomal RNA". Lineage: Eukaryota; Fungi; Ascomycota; Leotiomycetes; Myxotrichaceae. The record is from RNAcentral.